This 72-nucleotide transfer RNA is filed under the name Schizosaccharomyces japonicus yFS275. Its description in RNAcentral is "tRNA-Ser (TGA) (tRNA-Ser-TGA-9-1)". It matches the Rfam family "tRNA". Rfam says of the family: Transfer RNA (tRNA) molecules are approximately 80 nucleotides in length. Their secondary structure includes four short double-helical elements and three loops (D, anti-codon, and T loops). The record is from RNAcentral. Lineage: Eukaryota; Fungi; Ascomycota; Schizosaccharomycetes; Schizosaccharomycetales; Schizosaccharomycetaceae.
CGUUGUAUGGUGUAAUGGUUAGCACGUAGGAUUUGAUUUCCUGAGACCUGGGUUCGAUUCCCAGUACGACCU